Molecule: ribosomal RNA, 496 nt
Filed under: uncultured bacterium
Lineage: Bacteria
Description: partial 16S ribosomal RNA
Rfam family: Bacterial small subunit ribosomal RNA
Source: RNAcentral
GAUGAACGCUGGCGGCGUGCCUAAUACAUGCAAGUCGAGCGAACGGACGAGAAGCUUGCUUUUCUGAUGUUAGCGGCGGACGGGUGAGUAACACGUGGAUAACCUACCUAUAAGACUGGGAUAACUUCGGGAAACCGGAGCUAAUACCGGAUAAUAUUUUGAACCGCAUGGUUCAAAAGUGAAAGACGGUCUUGCUGUCACUUAUAGAUGGAUCCGCGCUGCAUUAGCUAGUUGGUAAGGUAACGGCUUACCAAGGCAACGAUGCAUAGCCGACCUGAGAGGGGGACCGGCCAAAAUGGAACUGAAACACGGUCCAAAACCCUAGGGGAGGAAAAAGGGGGGAAUCUCCCACAAGGGGAGAAAGCAUAACGGAGCAACGCCGGGUGGGGAAAGAAGGUCUUCGGAUUGUAAAACUCUUUUUUUGGGGAAGAAAAUAUGGGUAAGAAACUGGGCACAUUUGAACGGUACCUAAUCAAAAAGCCAAGGCUAACUACGU